This 815-nucleotide long non-coding RNA is filed under the name Homo sapiens (human). RNAcentral's name for it is "HSALNT0408183". The record is from RNAcentral. Lineage: Eukaryota; Metazoa; Chordata; Mammalia; Primates; Hominidae.
CGCCUAGGUUAAGCUUGAUUUAAAUUUGCAUACAUUUUCAUAUAUUUAGCAGAAAUAAAAGAAGGCUUGCUGCUACCAGAAAGUCAUUAAGGCAUUAGUUUCUCUAAGAAGACAGAUCUGAAGAAUGUGCAAGAAAAUGAGAAAAAAAUAAAAACAAGGUCUCUAUUGGCUUUCCUGAACGUAAGAAAAAGAAUCUUCAGAGAAAAAGGAAAGAGGAAGAGGGGAGGGGGCUCAGAAAACAAUAACAGCAGCCUAUCUACAUUGUGCUUUACAGUCUACAGUGUGCAUUCAUAUUUAACACUUUGGACUGAACAUUUGACACUUUGGAGUGAAUAGAUAUAAUUAUCCUCAGUUUACAGGUGGGAAAAUGAAGGCACAGAAAAGGUAAGAGAUGUGCUCAAGGUUUUACAACUCAGAUUCAAACCAAUCCUUUUGACUAAAGGCUUCAAAAAAUGUAUUUUGACUAAUCAGAGAACUUAUCUUUACAUUUGUAUUGCUAAUUAUAACCCACAUACCAUAUAUAAAAAACUGAAAGUACAACUUGGAAAUGAUUGUAAAGCAACCCCCAUGUAAUUCCUUAGGGAAAGAAAUAAAACACUCUCAACACCUGUGUACAUUUUCUUAAAUGUAGCCCUCUCCUCCACUAAGAGUAACCCUCUUCUGACUUCCAUGGUUCGCUUUGUAGUUUUUCCACCCGUGUUCUGAAAUAACAGUUCAGUUUUGCCUAUUUUUGAAUGUUAUUCAAAUGAAAUCAUACAGUAUGUGCUAUUUUAUAACUGGCUGAUUUUGAUCAAUAUAAUAUGAGUGUGUGUCAC